RNAcentral lists this ribosomal RNA (238 nucleotides) under uncultured Lactobacillus sp. RNAcentral describes it as "partial 16S ribosomal RNA". It matches the Rfam family "Bacterial small subunit ribosomal RNA", at positions 125 to 356 of the family's 1533-position model. The record is from RNAcentral. Lineage: Bacteria; Bacillati; Bacillota; Bacilli; Lactobacillales; Lactobacillaceae.
CCGUGCCCAAGAGAUCGGGAUAACACCUGGAAACAGAUGCUAAUACCGGAUAACAACAGAUGAUGCCUAUCAACUGUUUAAAAGAUGGUUCUGCUAUCACUCUUGGAUGGACCUGCGGUGCAUUAGCUAGUUGGUAGGGUAACGGCCUACCAAGGCGAUGAUGCAUAGCCGAGUUGAGAGACUGAUCGGCCACAUUGGGACUGAUACACGGCCCAAACUCCUACGGGAGGCAGCAGCG